GUCAUGUUAGACAGGUUACGUCUACUGUCAGUGUUAGUGUCACUUUUUAGCAAGAUGACCAUGCGGUCGGCUCGUCGGCUAACACGAGCUUUCGACGAAAUACAAAUAGCAGAACUUCUUAAUAAUUCGGAGUUCGAAGACUCGGAUGAUGAAGAUGUGCCUGACCUGACCUCCCUGACCUAACCUAAACCUGUCCUCGGAAUCUGAAGGUGGAGAAAUAGAAAUCGCUGUAAGUGGAGGUGGAUCUACUCAUCGUACUCAAAGUGCUCGUGACCAACGAGUUGGACAUGGCCGUGGCAGAAGUACAAGUACAAGGGCACGACAUACCGGGUAGAUUGCCUGUACCAUCAAAAAUGCGACGCUUAUAUGGCAAUAUCCACUUACCGGAACAUCUAGACAAACAACAACGAGGCCAUCUCUCUGGGUGUGACAAAAGGAGUUUAUUUAAAUGCUCUGACUGUAAUGUAGCUAUUCGCCUGAAUUCAACAAGAAAUUGUUGCAGGGCCUUUCAUCAACAAGAGAAUUAAUAAUAAGCAGUAAAAACGAUAACUUGUCGACUUUAGUUUAUAAAAAUAUUGAUCUCGUAUACUUGACUGUGAUUUUGAAAUAAGAUGUCAAUUAAACUAG
Melitaea cinxia (Glanville fritillary) is the source of this 627-nucleotide long non-coding RNA. RefSeq lists it as uncharacterized. The transcript is spliced from 2 exons. Lineage: Eukaryota; Metazoa; Arthropoda; Insecta; Lepidoptera; Nymphalidae. The record is from RefSeq and is a predicted model, not a curated record.